Molecule: ribosomal RNA, 496 nt
Filed under: uncultured bacterium
Lineage: Bacteria
Description: partial 16S ribosomal RNA
Rfam family: Bacterial small subunit ribosomal RNA
Source: RNAcentral
AUGCACGCUGGCGGCGUGCCUAAUACAUGCAAGUCGAGCGAACGGACGAGAAGCUUGCUUCUCUGAUGUUAGCGGCGGACGGGUGAGUAACACGUGGAUAACCUACCUAUAAGACUGGGAUAACUUCGGGAAACCGGAGCUAAUACCGGAUGAUAUUUUGAACCGCAUGGUUCAAAAGUGAAAGACGGUCUUGCUGUCACUUAUAGAUGGAUCCGCGCUGCAUUAGCUAGUUGGUAAGGUAACGGCUUACCAAGGCAACGAUGCAUAGCCGACCUGAGAGGGUGAUCGGCCACACUGGAACUGAGACACGGUCCAGACUCCUACGGGAGGCAGCAGUAGGGAAUCUUCCGCAAUGGGCGAAAGCCUGACGGAGCAACGCCGCGUGAGUGUUGAAGGUCUUCGGAUCGUAAAACUCUGUUAUUAGGGAAGAACAUAUGUGUAAGUAACUGUGCACAUCUUGACGGUACCUAAUCAGAAAGCCACGGCUAACUACGUG